Molecule: ribosomal RNA, 365 nt
Filed under: uncultured Anaerolineaceae bacterium
Lineage: Bacteria; Bacillati; Chloroflexota; Anaerolineae; Anaerolineales; Anaerolineaceae
Description: bacterial SSU rRNA
Rfam family: Bacterial small subunit ribosomal RNA
Source: RNAcentral
GGAAACUGGACCGACCCUUUCGGGGAGCUUGUACAGGUGCUGCAUGGCUGUCGUCAGCUCGUGUCGUGAGAUGUUCGGUUAAGUCCGCUAACGAGCGCAACCCUCGCUGUGUGUUACAAGUGUCGCACGGAACUGCCGGUCAUAACCGGAGAAGUGGGGAUGACGUCAAGUCAGCAUGGCCUUUAUAUCCUGGGCUACACACACGCUACAAUGGGAAGGGACAAUAGGUUGCGAAGCCGCGAGGCGGAGCCAAUCCAGCAAAACUUCCCUCAGUUCAGAUUGCAGGCUGCAACCCGCCUGCAUGAAGUUGGAGUUGCUAGUAAACGCAGGUCAGCCAUACUGCGUUGAAUACGUUCCCGGGGCUU